This 303-nucleotide ribosomal RNA is filed under the name uncultured bacterium. RNAcentral's name for it is "partial 16S ribosomal RNA". It matches the Rfam family "Bacterial small subunit ribosomal RNA", at positions 507 to 807 of the family's 1533-position model. The record is from RNAcentral.
AGCAGUAGCCGCGGGAAUACGUAGGGUGCAAGCGUUAAUCGGAAUUACUGGGCGUAAAGCGUGCGCAGGCGGUGUUGUAAGACUGAUGUGAAAUCCCCGGGCUCAACCUGGGAACUGCAUUGGCGACUGCAACGCUGGAGUGCGGCAGAGGGGGAUGGAAUUCCGCGUGUAGCAGUGAAAUGCGUAGAUAUGCGGAGGAACACCGAUGGCGAAGGCAAUCCCCUGGGCCUGCACUGACGCUCAUGCACGAAAGCGUGGGGAGCAAACAGGAUUAGAUACCCGCGUAGUCCCUGUCUCUUAUAC